Molecule: ribosomal RNA, 267 nt
Filed under: uncultured archaeon
Lineage: Archaea
Description: partial 16S ribosomal RNA
Rfam family: Archaeal small subunit ribosomal RNA
Source: RNAcentral
ACAGUCACUGACAUUAGAUACCCGGGUAGUCCAGGGUGUAAACGCUGCAGACUUGGUGUUGGAAGCCCUUUGGGGGCAUUCAGUGCCGGAGAGAAGUUGUUAAGUCUGCUACUUGGGGAGUACGUCCGCAAGGAUGAAACUUAAAGGAAUUGGCGGGGGAGCACCGCAACGGGAGGAGCGUGCGGUUUAAUUGGAUUCAACACCGUAAAACUCACCAGGGAAGACUGUUACAUGAAGGCCGAGAUGAAGACUCUGCUAGAUUUUCAG